Molecule: ribosomal RNA, 508 nt
Filed under: uncultured bacterium
Lineage: Bacteria
Description: bacterial SSU rRNA
Rfam family: Bacterial small subunit ribosomal RNA
Source: RNAcentral
AAGUACGCUGGCGGCAUGCUCACACGAUUACAGUUGAACGGGUUUAAGUCCUAUUAGUCUUAAACAAGUAGCGGACGGGUGAGUAACGCGUAAGAACCUACCUUUAGGUAAGGAAUAACUAUUGGAAACGAUCAGAUAAUACCUUAUAAGCUUAUAGUAAAAGAUAAAAUCGCCUAAGGAUGGGCUUGCGUCUGAUUAGCUUGUUGGUGAUUUAAAAGAUUCACCAAGGCAACGAUCAGUAGUUGGUCUAAGAGGAUGAUCAACCACACUGGGACUGAGACACGGCCCAGACCUCUACGGAGGGCAGCAGUGAGGAAUUUUCCGCAAUGGGCGAAAGCCUGACGGAGCAAUGCCGCCGUGGAGGAUGAAAGCUUGUGAGUCGUAAACUCCUUUUCUUAGUGAACGAAAUAAGACGGUAUCUAAGGAAUAAGCAUCGGCUAACUCCGUGCCAGCAGCCGCAGGUAAUACGGAGGAUGCAAGCGUUAUUCGGAAUUAUUGGGCGUAAAGC